Long non-coding RNA from Dermacentor andersoni, 506 nucleotides. RefSeq lists it as uncharacterized. NCBI's taxonomy places the organism in Eukaryota, Metazoa, Arthropoda, Arachnida, Ixodida, Ixodidae. The record is from RefSeq and is a predicted model, not a curated record.
GAAAGCAAGCACGAUGCCCUUGGUUAUUGAUUACAAGGCGAAGCCAGGACCUUCCACGAUGCAAGGAGGACUAGACACAGCCAUCACCGUCAGUGAAGUCGGGAUAAAUAUUGAUGUUUCCCGGAAAUUGACUGCCCUCCUGAUCAAAGAGCUGGCCUGAGCCUUCUUCAUAGCACGAAGAGUGAGUGAUGCAAUUCUUGAAGUGGAGAUUACAAAUAUAGAACAUGCGAGACAAGCGUGUAAGGAAAUGGCAGCAAUUGGACACAAAGACCACUCUGAAGAACUAGCACUGAAAGCAAAAACGAUGCGCUUGGAUUUUAAUUACAAGGCGAAGCCAGGACCUUCUACCAUGGAAGGAGGAUUGGACACAGUGAUCACCGUCAGUGCAGUCGGGAUAAAUAUUGAUGUUUCCCGGAAAUUGACUGCCCUCCUGAUCAAAGAGCUGGCCUGAGCCUUCGUGAGUUCGUAUAUGGUUUUCUAGAAAAAAAGGGAAUGCUUUGCUUUUU